Molecule: ribosomal RNA, 380 nt
Filed under: Talaus sp. SPB-2007
Lineage: Eukaryota; Metazoa; Arthropoda; Arachnida; Araneae; Thomisidae
Description: partial 16S ribosomal RNA
Source: RNAcentral
UGCUAAGGUAGCAUAAUCAUUUGUCUUUUAAUUUAAGACUAGAACAAAAGAUUUUACAUUUAAAUUAAUAUUUUUAAUUUAUUUAAUUAAAUUAUUUUUAAUGUAAAAAAACAUUAAUUCAUAAAAUAGACGAUAAGACCCUAUCGAACUUUACUUUAGUUAAACUGGGGAAGUGAAAUAAUUAUUACUUUAUUUAAAAUUAAUAUUUUAAAGAUCUAAUAAAAUUAAUUAAUUGAAUAAGUUACCGUAGGGAUAACAGUGUAAUAUUUAUUUAAAGAUCUUAUUUAAAUAAAUGAUUGCAACCUCGAUGUUGACUUAAUAAUCUAAAUUACGCAAUAGUAAAAUAAGAAAGUCUGUUCGACUUAUAAAUAAUUACAUGA